RNAcentral lists this ribosomal RNA (301 nucleotides) under uncultured bacterium. RNAcentral describes it as "partial 16S ribosomal RNA". It matches the Rfam family "Bacterial small subunit ribosomal RNA", at positions 509 to 807 of the family's 1533-position model. The record is from RNAcentral.
CAGUCGCCGCGGGAAUACGAAGGGUGCAAGCGUUAAUCGGAAUUACUGGGCGUAAAGCGUGCGUAGGCGGUGAGUUAAGUCUGCUGUGAAAUCCCCGGGCUCAACCUGGGAAUGGCAGUGGAUACUGGCUCGCUAGAGUGUGUCAGAGGAUGGUGGAAUUCCCGGCGUAGCGGUGAAAUGCGUAGAUAUGCGGAGGAACACCGAUGGCGAAGGCAGCCCCCUGGGCCAACACUGACGCUCAUGCACGAAAGCGUGGGGAGCAAACAGGAUUAGAUACCCCGGUAGUCCCUGUCUCUUAUAC